Molecule: long non-coding RNA, 216 nt
Organism: Sinocyclocheilus anshuiensis
Lineage: Eukaryota; Metazoa; Chordata; Actinopteri; Cypriniformes; Cyprinidae
Exons: 2
Source: RefSeq, a predicted model, not a curated record
UUACUGAUUGUAGAACUCUGGAAAUACCAGGCAACUUUAAAUUUAUGAUCAGGAAAAGCAUGGAAAUAUCAUUCUAGUUAUGCGCAGGUCUGACUUUUUAAAAUUUGUAUGAGCACAGUUCAUUCUUUAUUGUGUUACCAGUACCUUGUAUGUAUGUACAUAUACGUACUGUUUCCUUUCUUAUUAAUUUGCUUAAAUAAACAAUCCUAAGCAGUU